Molecule: ribosomal RNA, 926 nt
Filed under: Pratylenchus penetrans
Lineage: Eukaryota; Metazoa; Nematoda; Chromadorea; Rhabditida; Pratylenchidae
Description: SSU rRNA
Rfam family: Eukaryotic small subunit ribosomal RNA
Source: RNAcentral
AAAGAUUAAGCCAUGCAUGUAUAAGUAUAAACGCUUUAAGCGUGAAACCGCGAACGGCUCAUUACAACAGCUAUAAUUUACUUGAUCUUGACAAACUUACAUGGAUAACUGAGGUAAUUCUUGAGCUAAUACAUGCACCAAAGCUUUGACCGUAAGGGAAGAGCGCAUUUAUUAGAACAAAACCAAACGGCUUCGGCUGUUCCCAGUUGAAUCAGAAUAACUCAGCUGAUCGUACGGUCUUGCACCGACGACGUGUCUUUCAAGUAUCUGCUUUAUCAACUUUCGAUGGUAGGGUAUCUGCCUACCAUGGUGGUGACGGAUAACGGAGGAUCAGGGUUCGACUCCGGAGAAGGGGCCUGAGAAAUGGCCACUACGUCUAAGGAUGGCAGCAGGCGCGCAAAUUACCCACUCUCAGAAUUUGGAGGAGGUAGUGACGAGAAAUAACGAGGUUGAUCUCUUCUGAGGCCAACCAUCGGAAUGGGUACAAUUUAAACCCUUUAACGAGUAUCUAUGAGAGGGCAAGUCUGGUGCCAGCAGCCGCGGUAAUUCCAGCUCUCAAAAUGCAUAGAAUUAUUGCUGCGGUUAAAAAGCUCGUAGUUGGAUCUGCAGCCGGAGCUCCGGUCUAUCUCCGGAUAUGUACUGGAUGUCUUCAGCUUUCUGACAGUGUUCGGCUCUGUGCCUCUAACCAGGUGUGGAUGUCCGAUACUGUAAGUUUACUUUGAAUAAAUCAGAGUGCUCUAAACAGGCGUUUUGCUUGAAUGAUUGUGCAUGGAAUAAUAGAAGAGGAUUUCGGUUCUAUUUUAUUGGUUUUAUAGACUGAGAUAAUGGUUAACAGAGACAAACGGGGGCAUUUGUAUGGCUACGUGAGAGGUGAAAUUCUUGGACCGUAGCCAGACAAACUACAGCGAAAGCAUUUGCCAAGAAUG